RNAcentral lists this ribosomal RNA (595 nucleotides) under Wilsonomyces carpophilus. RNAcentral's name for it is "partial large subunit ribosomal RNA". It matches the Rfam family "Eukaryotic large subunit ribosomal RNA", at positions 33 to 643 of the family's 3401-position model. The record is from RNAcentral. Lineage: Eukaryota; Fungi; Ascomycota; Dothideomycetes.
UUUUUGCAUAUCCAAAAAGCGGAGGAAAAGAAACCAACAGGGAUUGCCCUAGUAACGGCGAGUGAAGCGGCAACAGCUCAAAUUUGAAAUCUGGCCUCUUUUGGGGUCCGAGUUGUAAUUUGCAGAGGGCGCUUUGGAGUCGGCAGCGGUCCAAGUUCCUUGGAACAGGACGUCACAGAGGGUGAGAAUCCCGUACGUGGUCGCUAGCCUUCUCCGUGUAAAGCCCCUUCGACGAGUCGAGUUGUUUGGGAAUGCAGCUCUAAAUGGGAGGUAAAUUUCUUCUAAAGCUAAAUAUUGGCCAGAGACCGAUAGCGCACAAGUAGAGUGAUCGAAAGAUGAAAAGCACUUUGGAAAGAGAGUCAAAAAGCACGUGAAAUUGUUGAAAGGGAAGCGCUUGCAGCCAGACUUGCCUGUAGUUGCUCAUCCGGGCUUUUGCCCGGUGCACUCUUCUAUAGGCAGGCCAGCAUCAGUUUGGGCGGUUGGAUAAAGGUCUCUGUCAUGUACCUCUCUUCGGGGAGAACUUAUAGGGGAGACGCCAUGCAACCAGCUCAGACUGAGGUCCGCGCAUUCGCUAGGAUGCUGGCGUAUACGCCAA